UUUGGAUGACAUCUUUUAAAGGGCCUUCCUUUUUGGCAUGCUAUCAGAUUUUUUCCAUCGAAAAAGAGAGAGUUGGGGCGUGUGCUAGGGUGUGGAUGACUUCAUCUAGUGUGGAGAGAUCCUAGGGCUUCUAAGUUGGGCAUUGGGAUUUUAAGGGAAGUGAGAAAGUGUUCUCUAAUUCUUAUUCCUCUACCACUUCUUCCUCC
Molecule: long non-coding RNA, 206 nt
Filed under: Elaeis guineensis (African oil palm)
Lineage: Eukaryota; Viridiplantae; Streptophyta; Magnoliopsida; Arecales; Arecaceae
Description: long non-coding RNA (EGUI_LNC003857)
Source: RNAcentral